This is a non-coding RNA of Mycena rebaudengoi, 100 nucleotides long. Lineage: Eukaryota; Fungi; Basidiomycota; Agaricomycetes; Agaricales; Mycenaceae. The record is from the annotation of a GenBank genome assembly.
GUCUUCGUGGAGUACAGCGGAAAUCGCUCCCAAAAAUUAUGCACGCAUGAAUACCAGCUUAUACGUGGGAGAGUUGGUGGUUCGAAUCCACCCGAAGACA